ACCACACACAGGAAGAGCCUGCAGCUAGC
Molecule: non-coding RNA, 29 nt
Filed under: Homo sapiens (human)
Lineage: Eukaryota; Metazoa; Chordata; Mammalia; Primates; Hominidae
Source: RNAcentral